AUAAAAAUCUCCUUCAAAUCUUGUUAAAAAGCAAACUCUAACUCAGUGAUUCUGGAUUGGGCAUUAAUAAUAAGCUAUCAGGGGAUGCUAUU
This 92-nucleotide microRNA precursor is filed under the name Marmota monax (woodchuck). The record is from RNAcentral. Lineage: Eukaryota; Metazoa; Chordata; Mammalia; Rodentia; Sciuridae.